UAGCUAGUUGGUGAGGUAACGGCCCACCAAGGCGACGAUCGGUAGCCGGACUGAGAGGUUGAACGGCCACAUUGGGACUGAGACACGGCCCAGACUCCUACGGGAGGCAGCAGUGGGGAAUAUUGCACAAUGGGGGGAACCCUGAUGCAGCGACGCCGCGUGGAGGAAGAAGGUCUUCGGAUUGUAAACUCCUGUUGUUGGGGAAGAUAAUGACGGUACCCAACAAGGAAGUGACGGCUAACUACGUGCCAGCAGCCGCGGUAAAACGUAGGUCACAAGCGUUGUCCGGAAUUACUGGGUGUAAAGGGAGCGCAGGCGGGAAGACAAGUUGGAAGUGAAAUCUAUGGGCUCAACCCAUAAACUGCUUUCAAAACUGUUUUUCUUGAGUAGUGCAGAGGUAGGCGGAAUUCCCGGUGUAGCGGUGGAAUGCGUAGAUAUCGGGAGGAACACCAGUGGCGAAGGCGGCCUACUGGGCACCAACUGACGCUGAGGCUCGAAAGUGUGGGUAGCAAACAGGAUUAGAUACCCUGGUAGUCCACACCGUAAACGAUGAUUACUAGGUGUUGGAGGAUUGACCCCUUCAGUGCCGCAGUUAACACAAUAAGUAAUCCACCUGGGGAGUACGACCGCAAGGUUGAAACUCAAAGGAAUUGACGGGGGCCCGCACAAGCAGUGGAGUAUGUGGUUUAAUUCGACGCAACGCGAAGAACCUUACCAAGUCUUGACAUCCCUUGACAGGCAUAGAAAUAUGUUUUCUCUUCGGAGCAAGGAGACAGGUGGUGCAUGGUUGUCGUCAGCUCGUGUCGUGAGAUGUUGGGUUAAGUCCCGCAACGAGCGCAACCCUUAUGGUCAGUUACUACGCAAGAGGACUCUGGCCAGACUGCCGUUGACAAAACGGAGGAAGGUGGGGAUGACGUCAAAUCAUCAUGCCCUUUAUGACUUGGGCUACACACGUACUACAAUGGCGUUAAACAAAGAGAAGCGAGACCGCGAGGUGGAGCAAAACUCAGAAACAACGUCCCAGUUCGGACUGCAGGCUGCAACUCGCCUGCACGAAGUCGGAAUUGCUAGUAAUCGUGGAUCAGCAUGCCACGGUGAAUACGUUCCCGGGCCUUGUACACACCGCCCGUCACACCAUGAGAGCCGGGGGGACCCGAAGUCGGUAGUCUAACCGCAAGGAGGACGCCGCCGAAGGUAAAACUGGUGAUUGGGGUGAAGUCGUAACAAGGUAACCGUACUAGUACGGGAGCUG
Molecule: ribosomal RNA, 1252 nt
Filed under: metagenome
Description: bacterial SSU rRNA
Rfam family: Bacterial small subunit ribosomal RNA
Source: RNAcentral